GAUCCAGCUUGCUGGAUGCUGACGAGCGGCGGACGGGUGAGUAAUGCAUAGGAAUCUGCCCGGUAGUGGGGGAUAACCUGGGGAAACCCAGGCUAAUACCGCAUACGUCCUACGGGAGAAAGGGGGCUUCGGCUCCCGCUAUCGGAUGAGCCUAUGUCGGAUUAGCUAGUUGGUGAGGUAACGGCUCACCAAGGCCACGAUCCGUAGCUGGUCUGAGAGGAUGAUCAGCCACAUCGGGACUGAGACACGGCCCGAACUCCUACGGGAGGCAGCAGUGGGGAAUAUUGGACAAUGGGGGGAACCCUGAUCCAGCCAUGCCGCGUGUGUGAAGAAGGCCCUCGGGUUGUAAAGCACUUUCAGCGAGGAAGAACGCCUAGCGGUUAAUACCCGCUAGGAAAGACAUCACUCGCAGAAGAAGCACCGGCUAACUCCGUGCCAGCAGCCGCGGUAAUACGGAGGGUGCAAGCGUUAAUCGGAAUUACUGGGCGUAAAGCGCGCGUAGGUGGCUUGAUAAGCCGGUUGUGAAAGCCCCGGGCUCAACCUGGGAACGGCAUCCGGAACUGUCAAGCUAGAGUGCAGGAGAGGAAGGUAGAAUUCCCGGUGUAGCGGUGAAAUGCGUAGAGAUCGGGAGGAAUACCAGUGGCCGAAGCGGCCCUUCUGGACUGACACUGACCACUGAUGUGCGACAGCGUGGUAGCAAACAGGAUUAGAUACCCUGGUAGUCCACGCCGUAAACGAUG
RNAcentral lists this ribosomal RNA (740 nucleotides) under Vreelandella aquamarina. Its description in RNAcentral is "bacterial SSU rRNA". It matches the Rfam family "Bacterial small subunit ribosomal RNA", at positions 72 to 811 of the family's 1533-position model. The record is from RNAcentral. Lineage: Bacteria; Pseudomonadati; Pseudomonadota; Gammaproteobacteria; Oceanospirillales; Halomonadaceae.